This 484-nucleotide ribosomal RNA is filed under the name uncultured bacterium. RNAcentral describes it as "partial 16S ribosomal RNA". It matches the Rfam family "Bacterial small subunit ribosomal RNA", at positions 28 to 507 of the family's 1533-position model. The record is from RNAcentral.
GAUGAACGCUGGCGGCGUGCCUAACACAUGCAAGUCGAGCGGACAGACGCGGCUUUUGCUCCUCUGACGUUAGCGGCGGGCGGGUGAGUAAAAUGAGGCUCCCUUGUCUUUAAGAAUAGGAUAACUAAGGGGAACCGGAGCCCAUACAGGAUCCUAUCUUGAACGGGAUGGUUCUAUAGUGUUCGCGGGUUUUGAUGUACCUUGGGCGUAUUAGCGAGUUGGUUUGGUAAGGGCUUACCAAGGCGACGAUCCGUGACCGAUCUGAGUGGCUGACCAGCCACACUGGAACUGAGACACGGUCCAGACUCCUACGGGAGGCAGCAGUGGGGAAUCUUGGGCGAUGGGCGAAAGCCUGACCGAGCAACGCCGCGUGUGUGAAGAAGGUCUUCGGAUCGGAAAACGCUGUUAGUAGGGAAGAACGAAUGUAUGAGUAGCCAUGCACGUCUUGACGGUACCUAAAGAAAAAGCCACGGCUAACUACGUG